Molecule: small RNA, 115 nt
Filed under: Serratia grimesii
Lineage: Bacteria; Pseudomonadati; Pseudomonadota; Gammaproteobacteria; Enterobacterales; Yersiniaceae
Description: RtT RNA
Rfam family: RtT RNA
About the family: This family represents a bacterial cis-regulatory element known as RtT RNA.
Source: RNAcentral
UUAAAUUGCAGAAGGGGAAGGCGAAAGCCUUCGGCAAGAAUCGAGUUGUGCAGCGCUAGCGCAGCCGGCCCGAAGGGUGAGAGUUAAGCGACGAACAAUCCUUCUCCUCCCUAAA